AUGUAGCAAUGAACUGCUUGUAAUAGUUUCAGAGGAACUAAUAAUUUUGAGAAAUAUGUUAAUAGCAAAUGUGCUAAUAUAAAGGGCUAGAAGAUUAGCGAUGCAUUCUUUUGCACUGAAAUAAGAAUAUAAUAAAUGUCUCCCAGGUGACUCAGGCUACAGCAAUUUUUAUUGGAGAUUAAAGCUUGAUGGACCUUUGCUCGGGUGAUUAACCCUUCAGAAAUUAAAACCUAGUGCUAAAGUAUUCAGUCCAAUUUAAAUGCAAA
Molecule: non-coding RNA, 266 nt
Organism: Podarcis lilfordi (Lilford's wall lizard)
Lineage: Eukaryota; Metazoa; Chordata; Lepidosauria; Squamata; Lacertidae
Source: the annotation of a GenBank genome assembly